RNAcentral lists this ribosomal RNA (493 nucleotides) under uncultured bacterium. RNAcentral describes it as "partial 16S ribosomal RNA". It matches the Rfam family "Bacterial small subunit ribosomal RNA", at positions 28 to 507 of the family's 1533-position model. The record is from RNAcentral.
GACGAACGCUGGCGGUGUGCUUAACACAUGCAAGUGGUGCGACGAACCAGAGCUUGCUCUGGGGCAAAGCCGCGAACGGGUGAGUAACACGUGGGUAAUCUACCCCGAUGACCGGGACAACCCGAGGAAACUCGGGCUAAUACCGGAUGUGGUGCGGAGACAUAAGUUUCUUCACUAAAGGUAGCUUCGGCUUCCGCAUUGGGAGGGGCCCGCGGCCCAUUAGCUUGUUGGUGGGGUCAAGGCCUACCAAGGCAACGAUGGGUAGCUGGUCUGAGAGGACGAUCAGCCACACUGGGACUGAGACACGGCCCAGACUCCUACGGGAGGCAGCAGUGGGGAAUCUUGCGCAAUGCGCGAAAGCGUGACGCAGCAACACCGCGUGAGGGAAGAAGGCCUUAGGGUUGUAAACCUCUUUCAGAUGGGACGAAGGUUCUCCGGUGAAUAGCCGAGAGGAUUGACGGUACCGUCAGAAGAAGCUCCGGCUAACUACGUG